RNAcentral lists this microRNA precursor (94 nucleotides) under Caenorhabditis brenneri. RNAcentral's name for it is "pre miRNA CBN34059". The stretch from base 17 to 78 matches the Rfam family "mir-35_2 microRNA precursor family". Lineage: Eukaryota; Metazoa; Nematoda; Chromadorea; Rhabditida; Rhabditidae. The record is from RNAcentral.
CCUGAGACGGGAACCGAGCUGGUUUCUUCUUCGGUGAUAAUUCCAUUUAGUGUUUAUCACCGAAAGCAAACUCGCUCUGGUCCCGUCUCGGGAU